GUCAUCUUUGUGAUCUAUUUUCUUAUGUUUUUAUGUCUGGUGUUCAGAGAAACAACAUAUGACAUGUAGAAUUUGAGGAUAUUAUUGGAUAUAGCAAGCUCUGAAGAAGAAUCAGCUAUUGACAAAGCUCAACACAUUACCGUUAUCACAGCUUGUCCUGUCUUCAGAAGUGUUUGCCUGAGUAACACAUGCACUUCUUGAUGUGUGCAUAAGGCUCAGAAACCACUGAUUUUCUACUGGA
This 241-nucleotide long non-coding RNA is filed under the name Dromaius novaehollandiae (emu). RNAcentral's name for it is "lncRNA (ENSDNVG00000016215.1)". The record is from RNAcentral. Lineage: Eukaryota; Metazoa; Chordata; Aves; Casuariiformes; Dromaiidae.